This 74-nucleotide transfer RNA is filed under the name Chthonomonas calidirosea. RNAcentral's name for it is "tRNA-Met". It matches the Rfam family "tRNA". Rfam says of the family: Transfer RNA (tRNA) molecules are approximately 80 nucleotides in length. RNAcentral also lists the same sequence under 3 other names. The record is from RNAcentral. Lineage: Bacteria; Bacillati; Armatimonadota; Chthonomonadia; Chthonomonadales; Chthonomonadaceae.
GGCGGAGUAGCUCAGCUGGUUAGAGCAUUCGGUUCAUACCCGAAGUGUCGGGGGUUCGAGUCCCUCCUCCGCUA